UCCUAAACGACUGUGAAGUAGGUCUGGAGGAUUUGCAACUAGACAGGCCUUAGAGGAUGUUAGUGAGUUAAGGUAGUAGAGUCCGUCUGAUUCAACUCUUGUUCCAAUCGUCUGUCCCGUACUGCGGUCCUGCAUAAUAAAAGAGGCAUCAAUAAAAUAUAUUCCGCAAUGGAGGGCACGAGUCAAACGACUCACAGAUGCAAGAUUAAAAGGACAGCCAGGGACAUUCCUGCAUAAUAAAAGAGGCAUCAAUAAAAUAUAUUCUGCAAUGAAGGGCACGAGUCAAACGACUAACAGAUGCAAGAUUAAAAGGAAGCCAGUGACAUAAAGAACGGAAUCUAGAGUGACAGAGGGUAGAGGAUUUGCUUGACCAACUCCUUUUACUUUAGUUUGAGACCCAUUAGCUAAAGUAACGUUGAGAAGAAACUGCGAAUACGCAAUAUUUGACAAAAGGGAUUUAUUACCAGAGAUAUGAUCAUAAGCAGCUGAGUCCACAACCUAUUGUUCAAGAGGACUAGACUCGGAAAAACAAGCAAAAG
Molecule: long non-coding RNA, 539 nt
Filed under: Nicotiana benthamiana
Lineage: Eukaryota; Viridiplantae; Streptophyta; Magnoliopsida; Solanales; Solanaceae
Description: long non-coding RNA (NBEN_LNC004457)
Source: RNAcentral